GAAGAAGUGGAUCUUCUAAAAACAGUCAUUUUGUUUCCACGUCUUCCCCCCCACCACCCCUUACACCUCGAGAGACGGAGCGGGCUGAUUCUCUGCGUGAAGUGCCUCUCUACGCUCUCAAAACUUACAUCAUGCAUUGUUUCACUGGCUGGCAUGUUUAGCGGGCUCUUGGCCCAUUUGGGUGCUGGAUUGAGUGUGUGUAGGUUAGUGGGUGGGCAGCAGGAGUGGGUUCUCUGUGAGGGGCAGUAGAUGCUGGAAUUCCUAAUAGAAGGUAAUUGAAAAUGAGCACUUAGAAGCCGUUGGCUGGUAUUUUCCUCGUACAUGAGGAAAGGCUGCAGUAAUCAUGUGCUAGACUCUGUUGUACUCAACAUUCAAUGGAAGGGCUCAUUAGUGGAUACUAUGCAUUAUAUAGGUGUUCAACAUACAUUUCACAGAAAAAGAAAAAAUAACCAGAUCAUGCGCUCGCUCUAACAACUUUUUGCAGCCUGCUGAAGGAGUCCCUUGCAGAUAUUACACUGAACUCCUUUGGGGGUUUUAUGUACAUGUGCUGGCUUGGCUUGAGUCAGUUUAACACAUCGCGGGAUUUGCAUCUCCAUUACAACCCGCUUGAAGGGUCGAUGACAUUUAAAAGCAGCGCCCUCUUUAGCACGAUUUACUCAAGUUAGUCUAGCAAAGCUGCACCAUUGAAUCAUUUUAGCCAUUCAAGUUAACAGAGGGUUGAACCGGAAAUUAGCGGCUCGUCCUUGAAUGAUGAUAAAGGCCAUCUGACAUUUCUGCAACCCGUUUGGACGUGGGUCGGGUGUGCUUUGACCUGACUUCAGAGAUGGUCCAUCUCAGGUGCGACUCUGUGCGUUUAAGCUGGUAAUGGAAAGGCAAACAACACGGCAUGGUUUGACUUGGCAUGGCCAAAAGUGCCAGUGGAAAAAGGCUACUUGUCGCUGCAGGGCAGGGGGCAGCAGCCUUGAAAGUUUUACUGAAAUGUGACAAAAUUCAACGAGUAGGUUGCUCAAGGAGAAAGAACCUCUUCUUCAGUAUUACUUUCUCCUGUCUUUAUCCAUUGCUUUCAGGACAAAUGGUACUCUUAGCCUUAGCUACUUUUGCCACCCUCUGAUAGAUUUGAGCAGUCGCUAUAGGCUUUCAGCGGAUGCUUCACACAGAUUAAGACCUUGUCACAUUUGUGCAAUUUGAAAAGCAAAAAAUAAACUCUUUUAAGAAUGCUGAUUAUGAAGUAUGGUUACUGCACUGAAGGACACGUUGUCAAGAGAGUGGAAGAUGGUGAAAUGGUCAGAAAAUUGUGCUGAAUGGCAAAAUAACGCUUCUAUUUGCCUCCAUUGUGUUCUAUGAGGGUGUGCAGAUACAAAAUCUAUUUAGAGGGGUAACCUUGGGAGUGGAAACAACUUGAUUUAAAGAAGAGAGACACAGAGGAAAAGAGUAAGAGACAAGAAAGGAGUUGCCUGAAAGGUAGAGCACACAGUCAGAGGUCACAUGAUCCUGUUCCAGUUCUGAUAAUCCACACAUUUAAACGGUUCGACAGCGAUGGAACUGAAAUUCUAUAGCCAUCCGCCUCACUCAAUCAGCCACAAUAUCUUGCUCCAGCAAACAGAAGCUGUGGUGCUGCCGCUUAGCACCAGGAUAAUGAUCAGAUUAAAAGCUUUGACUGGUGAGACUUGGACUAAUGCCAGGUGAUGGGAGCAAUUUGCUGCCCAAUCAGCUCCAAACGAAGGAGGGAGAAGUGCACCAUUGGCUGCUGACAACAGCAGGGAGGGGUUAUGGGGGCUAAGAGAGAGGGUUUGGAAGCAUCCCAACCCCAAAAAGCAGCUGGUGAUUCAACAGUUCCUAUUGUCAGAUUCCAUUACAUCCCCCCAUGUCUUUGUCUUUCUUUCCCUCUCGCUCUAUGUCUCUGUCCCUCCCUAAUCAAGUCCUUUCCCUGUCUUCCUCACUUUCACUCAAAAAAAAUGGAUGGUCAGCAGAAGGCCUUUUCACUGAAGAAUAUUUCUGUGUUUGGCUUCAGCCACGUAUGCACGCACACACGCGCUCACACAAAAGCCUACGCAAGGUGCAAACAUAGAAAAGACACACACAGUGCAAGGUGAAGGAAGAAAUAAAGAGAAGGAAGUGGGGGUGAAAAAAACAAAUGGUGAGCAGACACUGAGGAGAUGUCUUUGUCAGUGAGAGAAAGACAUGAGUGGGCCGGCGCGCUAAUCAUCGAUCGGAUGAUUAAGGCAGAUGAGGAGGGCUUUUUCCCCCAGUGAAGGAUCUGAUUGUUGGUCUCCUCCCGCCUGGUGUCCAGGGAGCACGCCGGCGGCAGCAGCUCAAGAUCAAUACACUCAAUCACGGCUGAGAGGGGCAGCGUCAGUCACGCUGUGCCAGACUAUUAGAACCAAGUAGGCAGACAGUGAAUAACUCCAUGCUUCCCUAGUCCCACCUCAUACCAAAGGGGGAUGAACUGCCUGGCUAGCUGACUGGAAUGUGUGUGUACAUGUCUGUCUGUGCAUGAAUGUGUGUAAUUGUCACACCUGCUUCUUCUGUGAUUAAAGGAAUAGUUUGACAUUUUGGGAUAUACGCUUAUUCCCUUUGUUGCUAAGAGUUGAAUGAGAAGGUUUAUACUAUUCUUAUGUCUGUCAGCUAAAAAGCUACAGUCGGGAACUGCCCGUUAUUCUGAAACCUCAAUAGUUUGAAAAAUGUCCCAUUGGACCAAAAGCCCAUAGUCAGACAGCACAAUGUCCCGAAAAAUAAAAGCUCCGAAGGCCUGUUGCUCCGAAAACACACACACUGGAGUUGGAGUUAAGUGACUGCCGGCCUUACAACUUUCCAGACUCUGUUAACAUAUUGCUCAGUUUAACAGAUAACAUAUAAAUCUUAACAUAAAUCAGAAUGUAUGACUUAGUAUGACUCCUAAAGAAAUACUUUUCAUUUUGGCUGAUAUUUAACUUUAACAGCUCUUCUGUGAACUAAGUUAAAUAACUUCUAUAAUGUGUGAUUUCCUUAAAUCAGAGUUCGGCUUUGCGAAACAUGACACCGAAUUUAACAGAAGAACUUAGUGAAUUGUGAAAAGUCUGUUUGAUAAGUUAAUUUACAUUUUAAAUGACUGACGACGAGGCAAAUAAAGUCUUCAGCUGUUUCCUAAUGUUGGAGGACCUCUGUCAUCUUUUGCCCUUAAUAUCUUAGUGUAUUUUGAUGUGCUUGUGAAAAUGCAAUGUUUUAUGGUGUGAUAACGCUGUGGUUAAGGUCUGGUAAAGAUCAUGGUUUGGGUUAAAAUGAUCACUUGCGCAUGUAUUUUUGGAGCAACAGGCUUUCAGAGCAGUGGGCUUUUGUUUUCGGGAUAAUGGGCCAUCAGACUAUGGGCUUUUGGUCCAAUGACGACAUCAUCCUAUGUGGAGGGUGAAAGACUUGUUAGCGGUGUGAGAAAGGAGGAGAAGGGAGGAUAGCACUUCACCGACAGCUGUGUCCCUGACAGACAAUGGAUGGCCCGGAUCCAUCUGGAUGCAGCAGCCCUGGACCAACAUGAUGUAUACAUCUUCACUAGCCAAUGGGUGCCAUCAAUCCCUCCUUCACCAUGGUGACCGGGGGUGACAGCUAGCCAUGGACCAUGGUAUCUAUCUGCAACCUUGUCAGCCGAGCAGUGGAGAUGCAAAGAGGAAUUGGAGGAACGGCCUUGCUACAGGACCAUUCUGAAUGUGUUAACAGCGCCGCUUCCCUUGAACUGUCACAACUUGAAAAUCCACCGUGUUAAGAGCUUCACGUGCAGGCAGCCAUGAAUAUCUGCCAUUUCCAUAGACUUGGCCACAGAGGCUCUUAAAAAGCACUUGUUGUAAUACAUGACCAAUUUCCCGGCAGCGAGUGCAGGGGAGUAUUAACAUCUCCUCAGCCUGGUUCGGUUUAAUGUGAUGGAGAUGUUAUUAGAGCCAUCACAGGCCCAAAUGAAUGGCCAGUGGAAGCGCCACAGCAGGAGAGAGAGGGGGGAACACAUCGACCUUCGCCUUACCAAGGACAAGGACACUUGUGCUCGUAAAAAGGGGUGGUCCAAUUGUUCACACCAGCCAUGGCUGCUGAACCAAGCCUUGGAGCCAGGCUUACAUGUUCAUAUUGCACUCUUUAGUCAGCUCGUAUUCCAAUGAAUUUCUUUGAUUCUCAAGUUUAAACAUACCACUGAUUCUGCUGAAAUUUCAGCCUUGACUAAAAUAAAAAUUUAGUUUUACUUUCCAGUCCAAUCCAGCAUCUAAUGACUACAAGUCUAUUAAAUACCAUAUUCUUUAUAUAAAUACACCAAUAAACUUCAAGGACAGAUAAAAUUGUAUGAAUCUGCUAUAUUUAAUUUGCUAUAUUGAAUCAUUUUCUAAUCAUUUAUAGAGAUGUAAUGCCUAUGAAAUCAAAUCAUUUAGUUGUGAUGCACAGGUGUUCAGAAAUGUUAAUUCAUAUAUGGUGGUGAUUAUGUGAAAUUCCCUGUGAUUUUGCACUUUAACUUGUGUAAUAAAAACACUUUAAUUUCUACAA
Molecule: long non-coding RNA, 4494 nt
Organism: Thunnus maccoyii (southern bluefin tuna)
Lineage: Eukaryota; Metazoa; Chordata; Actinopteri; Scombriformes; Scombridae
Exons: 3
Source: RefSeq, a predicted model, not a curated record